ACAGACAGUUAGUGGCCCCUAUAUAUGUGUCCCUAGCUAAUGUGUUGUUAUCUGGACUGGGCUGUAAAAAUCUGUGGACACUGUUGGGUCUGAGUUAGGAACAGAAUGGCUGAGUCAGGACCAUUUUUGGCAGAUGGCAAUCAGGAGUUAUUUCCCUGUGAUGUCUGUGGAAGACGCUUUGCAGCAGAUGUUCUGGAGAGGCAUGGACCAAUAUGUAAAAAACUCUUCAACAAAAAGCGUAAACCUUUCAAUUCCUUGAAGCAAAGAUUACAAGGCACUGACAUUCCUACUGUGAGGAAUGCUGCUCAGUCCGAGUCUCAACCUGUGAAGAAACCUAACUGGAGACAACAGCAUGAGGAAUUCAUUAAUGUGAUCCGAUCAGCAAAGCAGUAUUCGCUGGCCAUUAAAGAAGGCCGGCCCCUCCCACCUCUACUGCCUCCAUCCCUGAACCUAGAUUAUAUUCAGUGCCCAUAUUGUAUGAGGAAGUUUAAUGAAACCGCAUCCCAGCGACAUGUUAAUUUCUGCAAGGAUCAAUCAUCUCGCCGAGUCUUUGAUCCAGCCCAGACAGCAGCCAAACUGGCAUCCAGAGGCCAGGGUAGGGCUCAGAUGAGUCCCAAAAAAGAGCCAACUGUUACAAGUGCCGUGGGAGCUUUGCUACAGAACAGAGCCCUGGAGGCCAUGAGUGGGUUCUCAACCGAGCCAGGAUCAGCUAUGGACACUGCUUCCGGAGCAAAACCCAGACAAGGAUUUAAUAAAUCUUCUAAAAAAGAUUAACUCCUAGAGGCUAGACUGGCUCCCUGAACCUCAUCAGCCUGGAUGGUUGUAUACCCAGGAAAGCCACCUAUAGGGAAGGGACAGUAGAGGUAAAAUGGUGUGUUUUGUGCUCAGGACAAUCAGCCUACUGGCAUCCCUUCCCUUCCGACCAGGACACGACAGCUCAGCACACCUAUAACAUGGUGGUGCUGUAAGACCCAGACAAGAACCAGUACAACAAGAAUUGCAGAAAUCUGAAUUAUGCUGACGUCUCCAAAUUCACCGGCUGCAGAAAGGGUUUUUAAAGCAUGUUAGAGGGCAGAUAGCCAUGUUGUUCUACAAAGAUGUGCAGAUAUAUCUCACAGGAAUAAAUAUGAAGGGGAGCUGGCUUACAAACUUGGUAUUUAAACCAUUUUCUGUUUGGCCCACUACUAGUGAACAGGACCCCAAAAGCACUGUCCUGGGUCUUCUAUUCUUGCUUCUAAUUCCCUUUCUUUGUGGAGGAUUUUCAUCGGAUUCGAUUUCAUUUAUCAUCCGUGGGUGGAUCAAUACCAGGUUAACAACUCUGGACCUGGUAUUCCCUACCUACUUUUUCCUGACCUAUGCCUGUACUAGCUACGAGUGGGACGCAGGUGGACACAACUAGUACUUGAGCAAGACUACACACCUUUCACAUUUCACCAGCUCCCACCUCUCUGAAGUUGAGUCUUUCCCUUGCCUGGCAUCCAAUUCUUCCCCUUUUAAUUUAUCCCUUACUUACCUAGGCAACAGUCCCAAUCCAGAAACAUUAUCUAGCUAAAAUAACGUCAACAACUUGUUUCCUCUCCGCAACUUCCCUUCUUUCCUCACAACCCAUGAAACCACUAGUUUUAGUAUGUCCUCAAGUCGGUGCCAAGUACCACCAUCUUUGGAUGUCAUCUGGAGCACGUCCAUGAUCUUAUUGGAAUUCUUCAGGGGUGACUGUCCAUGUGAGACUUCCAACCAUGGCCUUCCGUCUGCCCUGACAAAUCAUCUCUUCUUGCGCUUUGCUAUUUCCACCCAACUGGCUUCAUUAUUUGCCGUGCCGGCCCGCAUUCUCUCUUCUGAUUAUUUUCUCCUUCAACCUCCGCUUAUAAAAUGGAGCUUACGUUGCAAUUGAUGGGCAAAGGGACUGGAUGCUGCACUAUCAUCUUCAUUUUUAAAGCCCAAAGCAUCCUGCCAGCUCUCACUCUUCCAUUCCUUGAUUAGAUCACUGCCUCAGGCCAGAGAGGCAGGAAACGUGGGGGCUGUGGCAGGGAAGGCCUUCUUGCACAAAGUGCACGGCGAUUCUCUUUUUGCCUCACUUCAUAAUGAACAAGUCAUUUCCCUUGCUCAGAACCGCCACCUCCGAAAUACUGCGUAAGACAUCUUCAGUGCAGUUUACCCCGGUAUAGUCAUCCCUUGGUAGACAAGGGGGAUCGGUUCCAGGACCCCUCAAACCCCUAUCUGUGCAUACUCAAGUCCUGCAGUCGGCUCUGAGGACCCCGUGUGUAAGUAAAGUCAGCCCUCCAUAGAUGCAGGUUUCAGGUUUUACACCCCAAUAAUACCGUAUCAUCCAUCUGCAUUUUGUUGGAAAAAAUUCACAUGUAAGUGAAUGCAGUUCAAACUCAUGUCGUUCAAGGGUCAACUGUAAUCCCAACUAAUUCUACUCGUUCCAAUCUGUUAGUUCCACUGUCUUUUCUAAAUGUUUCUCCUGUAUGUGUUUCCGUCUACAUCCACAGUUAGAGUCCCAUCACUGCAGCCCACUGCUCUCAACGUCUGGGUGAGGAUGCCAACUCUGUGUACACAGGAGAUGCAAAACAGGGAGCCUCUGCGACAAAAUCGGUGCACGCGGCAGGCACGCUAUACUUCUAUUUAGGACAACUACAGAGUGGUCUAUGCACAGAGGGCAUCUGAACUUUAAAAUACCUAGCAUUUGCAGGCUUAUUUUAAAAAUCAACUGAUAUUACAUUAUCUACAGCACUGAUAUUCUUAAGGACCAAGAGCAUAAUUUAAAUCAUCUUUGCAACUCUUUCAAGUACCUUCCCCUCCAAGGGUACUCCAAGAUUUAAUAAUGGGGUCUAUGUUAAUACCAUUCAGAUGGAAAGUCUUACUUGCUAAAUUCUGACACUCUUUUAUGCAUUUAU
Microcebus murinus (gray mouse lemur) is the source of this 2897-nucleotide RNA transcript. It is a transcript of the gene named zinc finger C2HC-type containing 1B, with no coding region annotated. The record is from RefSeq and is a predicted model, not a curated record. Lineage: Eukaryota; Metazoa; Chordata; Mammalia; Primates; Cheirogaleidae.